UAACCCAUUCGAGUUCGGGUUUG
This 23-nucleotide non-coding RNA is filed under the name Arabidopsis thaliana (thale cress). The record is from RNAcentral. Lineage: Eukaryota; Viridiplantae; Streptophyta; Magnoliopsida; Brassicales; Brassicaceae.